This is a long non-coding RNA of Neolamprologus brichardi, 773 nucleotides long. RefSeq lists it as uncharacterized. The record is from RefSeq and is a predicted model, not a curated record. NCBI's taxonomy places the organism in Eukaryota, Metazoa, Chordata, Actinopteri, Cichliformes, Cichlidae.
GCGGCUGCGGUCACGGACAAACGUGUCUGUUCGGGAAUGGCAGAUGCUGAGAGGUCCAGCGUUUACAUUACCGACUAUUUCAAAGUGACAGCCUGAGGUGUUCUUCAGUAAAUUGGACUACCGGACAGGAGGACCUGAGGCCCCACCGCAUUAUUUUUGGAUGCAGCAGCAGACUGAACCUCGACUGAAACCUGCUCCAUCAUCUCAUCUUUGCAGAUGUCCAUUUAUAAAGCAUCAACAACUCAAAGGAGCCGUCCUCAGAUUCAGACCUCAGCACCACCCAGUGACAGCAGACAGAUCAUCCUAUAUCUUCAAUCUUUGUAGUAAAUCCAAAAUUAACUGAAGAAAACAGUACAAAGGUUAAAGUACCACAUGUGCUGUCAGUGAAAGCUGCAGCUGUUUUAUUGAUAAAUUUAAAGACAAAAAGUCAAAAGGAUUAAUCACCCCUUUAACUGUGUCACUAUACAUCAGCAUUAACAGUACCUCAGUUUGGUGUUUCAGAAAACUGCUGAUCUCAGACCUGCACAACUUCUGUUUUAAACACUGAAUGUACUCAGCUAUAUGAAGAGCACAUGAUGUUUUCUCUGACACAAUUAAAUAAAACCUGAUUAAAGUCAAAGGUUGUUACUUGUAUUUGAACUAAAAACUUGUGAUCUGGAAUUCUUUCACUGUUUUUUGACAAUAGUGUGUUAUUUAUCAUAAAGUAAUUCAGAGUCAUUCAUACCAGAGUAACCAGAGAGCACAACAUAUAUUUAACUUUCUACAGGACUUAA